AUUGAACGCUGGCCGCAUGCCUUACACAUGCAAGUCGAACGGCAGCACGGGAGCAAUCCUGGUGGCGAGUGGCGAACGGGUGAGUAAAGUAUCGGAACGUGCCCAGUCGUGGGGGAUAACGUAGCGAAAGGUACGUUAAUACCGCAUACGAUCUAAGGAUGAAAGCGGGGGAUCGCAAGACCUCGCGGGAUUGGAGCGGCCGAUAUCAGAUUGGGUAGUUGGUGGGGUGAAGGCUCACCAAGCCGACGAUCUGUAGCCGGUCUGAGAGGACGACAGGGCGACCUGGGACUGAGCCACGGCCAAGCCGCCUACGGGAGGAAGCAGUGGGGAAUUUUGGACAAUGGGCGAAAGCCUGAACCAGCCAUGCCGCGUGCAGGAUGAAGGCCUUCGGGUUGUAAACUGCUUUUGUACGGACAGAAAAGGUUUGGCCUAAUAAGCUGAGCUCAUGACGGUACCGUAAGAAUAAGCACCGGCUAACUACGUGCCAGCCGCCGCAGUAA
This 500-nucleotide ribosomal RNA is filed under the name uncultured bacterium. RNAcentral's name for it is "partial 16S ribosomal RNA". It matches the Rfam family "Bacterial small subunit ribosomal RNA", at positions 29 to 523 of the family's 1533-position model. The record is from RNAcentral.